GCCGAAAGGCGAAAGUGAGAUUUCAAGGGCCGGGUCUGGGGCCCCGCGGGCGCGCAGUGCUGCGGCGUGUGGGGAGUACGGGGAGGCUGGAGAGGAGCCGGCCCCGGGCAGUGUGAGGUGCGGAAGCGCGGUCCAGACACUUUGCUGACGGGAGGCCGGUCCGCCAGAUCCGGGAGGUGGGGCCUCGUUCUGGACUGCUGAUUUUCUUCACAGAAAUCAUGCCGUCUGUGAAUGAAGGGAGUUAUACUUCUUAUUUUCCAAAUGGAGAUUUUAUUUUUCUUGCAUGACUUCACUGGCUAGAACCACUACUACAAUGCUGAUUAGAAGUGGUAAGAAACAGAGGCAAAUGCAGGUUAAGGAACCUCACAGUAAGGGAUAAAACUCAUAUUUUAACCUGAUCUGCCUGAUUCUGGAGCCUGCACCAUCAUUCCAUUGUCGUGCUUGCCACAUGGCUCUUUGAGGCUUGCUAAAAUUGAUAUCCAUGAGUUCUAUCAAUUCUGGGACAGAGAACAAAUUGUGUUCUGUAAGGAUGGAGGGACAGCGAGGAAUUUGCCAAGGAUUACGAUCUUCUCGUUAAUUCUUCUUAACAACUCUGGCAGGCAUUUUGGAGUUUCUGAAAUAAAACCCACUUGAUCCCUUCUAUGUUCAUCUCCUGCGCUGGAUUUGAUUCAUUAAUAUUUUAUUUCAGUUUUUAAAUCUGUAUCUAUAAAUGACAUUCACACACCAU
This 727-nucleotide long non-coding RNA is filed under the name Homo sapiens (human). RNAcentral's name for it is "long non-coding RNA NONHSAT198702.1". Lineage: Eukaryota; Metazoa; Chordata; Mammalia; Primates; Hominidae. The record is from RNAcentral.